UACGUAGGAUGCAAGCGUUGUCCGGAAUUAUUGGGCGUAAAGAGCGCGCAGGCGGUUUUACAAGUCAGAUGUGAAAGAGGCCGGCUUAACCGGCAAGGGUCAUUUGAAACUGUGAGACUAGAGUACAGCAGAGGAUAGCGGAAUUCCCGGUGUAGUGGUGAAAUGCGUAGAUAUCGGGAGGAACACCAGUGGCGAAGGCGGCUAUCUGGGCUGAAACUGACGCUGAGGCGCGAAGGCUAGGGUAG
RNAcentral lists this ribosomal RNA (245 nucleotides) under uncultured Gelria sp. Its description in RNAcentral is "partial 16S ribosomal RNA". It matches the Rfam family "Bacterial small subunit ribosomal RNA", at positions 524 to 768 of the family's 1533-position model. The record is from RNAcentral. Lineage: Bacteria; Bacillati; Bacillota; Clostridia; Thermoanaerobacterales; Thermoanaerobacteraceae.